Molecule: transfer RNA, 72 nt
Filed under: Camelus bactrianus (Bactrian camel)
Lineage: Eukaryota; Metazoa; Chordata; Mammalia; Artiodactyla; Camelidae
Also listed under: 2 other names
Rfam family: tRNA
About the family: Transfer RNA (tRNA) molecules are approximately 80 nucleotides in length.
Source: Rfam by way of RNAcentral
GAGGAUAUGGCUCAAGUGGUAGAGCACAUGCUUAGUGUGCAUGAGGUCCUGGGUUCAAUCCCAGUACCUCCU